UACGAAGGGGCUAGCGUUGCUCGGAAUUACUGGGCGUAAAGGGCGCGUAGGCGGAUAGUUUAGUCAGAGGUAAAAGCCCAGGGCUCAACCUUGGAACUGCCUUUGAUACUGGCUAUCUUGAGUUCGGGAGAGGUGAGUGGAAUGCCGAGUGUAGAGGUGAAAUUCGUAGAUAUUCGGCGGAACACCAGUGGCGAAGGCGACUCACUGGCCCGAUACUGACGCUGAGGCGCGAAAAGCGUGGGGAGCAAACAGGG
This 254-nucleotide ribosomal RNA is filed under the name uncultured bacterium. Its description in RNAcentral is "partial 16S ribosomal RNA". It matches the Rfam family "Bacterial small subunit ribosomal RNA", at positions 524 to 777 of the family's 1533-position model. The record is from RNAcentral.